GCCGAGGUGGCGAAAUGGCAGACGCAGCAGACUCAAAAUCUGCCGGUGGCAACACCAUGAGGGUUCGAUCCCCUCUCUCGGCACCA
This 86-nucleotide transfer RNA is filed under the name Kiritimatiellia bacterium. RNAcentral describes it as "Kiritimatiellae bacterium (gut metagenome) tRNA-Leu". It matches the Rfam family "tRNA". From Rfam's summary of the family: Transfer RNA (tRNA) molecules are approximately 80 nucleotides in length. Their secondary structure includes four short double-helical elements and three loops (D, anti-codon, and T loops). Further hydrogen bonds mediate the characteristic L-shaped molecular structure. tRNAs have two regions of fundamental functional importance: the anti-codon, which is responsible for specific mRNA codon recognition, and the 3' end, to which the tRNAs corresponding amino acid is attached (by aminoacyl-tRNA synthetases). tRNAs cope with the degeneracy of the genetic code in two manners: having more than one tRNA (with a specific anti-codon) for a particular amino acid; and 'wobble' base-pairing, i.e. permitting non-standard base-pairing at the 3rd anti-codon position. Lineage: Bacteria; Pseudomonadati; Kiritimatiellota; Kiritimatiellia. The record is from RNAcentral.